This 468-nucleotide ribosomal RNA is filed under the name uncultured bacterium. RNAcentral describes it as "partial 16S ribosomal RNA". It matches the Rfam family "Bacterial small subunit ribosomal RNA", at positions 28 to 507 of the family's 1533-position model. The record is from RNAcentral.
GACGAACGCUGGCGGCGUGCUUAACACAUGCAAGUCGAACGGAAAGGCCCUGCUUUUGUGGGGUGCUCGAGUGGCGAACGGGUGAGUAACACGUGAGUAACCUGCACUUGACUUUGGGAUAACUUCAGGAAACUGGGGCUAAUACAGGAUAGGAGCUCCUGCUGCAUGGUGGGGGUUGGAAAGUUUCGGCGGUUGGGGAUGGACUCGCGGCUUAUCAGCUGGUUGGUGGGGUAGUGGCUUACCAAGGCUUUGACGGGUAGCCGGCCUGAGAGGGUGACCGGCCACAUGGGGACUGAGGUACGGCCCAGACUCCUACGGGAGGCAGCAGUGGGGAAUAUUGCACAAUGGGCGGAAGCCUGAUGCAGCAACGCCGCGUGCGGGAUGACGGCCUUCGGGUUGUAAACCGCUUUCGCCUGUGACGAAGCGUGAGUGACGGUAAUGGGUAAAGAAGCACCGGCUAACUACGUG